UAUGGCUCAGGACGAACGCUGGCGGUGUGCUUCAUACAUGCAAGUCGAACGAUAAGGGCCCUUCGGGGGAUACAUAAGUGGCGGACGGGUGAGUAACACGUAGAAAAUCUACCUCGAGGAAGGGGACAACAGUUGGAAACGACUGCUAAUACCCUAUAUGAGCUGGGCUGAAACGCCCAUCUUGAAAGUUCCGGCGCCUUGAGAUGAGUCUGCGCCUGAUUAGCUAGUUGGUGGGGUAAAUGCCUACCAAGGCGACGAUCAGUAGCUGGUUUGAGAGGAUGACCAGCCACAAUGGGACUGAGACACGGCCCAUACUCCUACGGGAGGCAGCAGUAGGGAAUUUUGCGCAAUGGGGGGAAAAACCCCCUGACGCAGCAACACCGCGUGAACGACGAAGCCCUUCGGGGUGUAAAGUUCUGUCAGUAGGGACGAAUUUUGACGGUACCUACAAAGGAAGCAUCGGCUAACUACGUGCCAGCCGCUGC
Molecule: ribosomal RNA, 485 nt
Filed under: uncultured bacterium
Lineage: Bacteria
Description: bacterial SSU rRNA
Rfam family: Bacterial small subunit ribosomal RNA
Source: RNAcentral